This 2374-nucleotide long non-coding RNA is filed under the name Equus caballus (horse). Its description in RNAcentral is "lncRNA (ENSECAG00000051446.1)". Lineage: Eukaryota; Metazoa; Chordata; Mammalia; Perissodactyla; Equidae. The record is from RNAcentral.
UGGACACCAAAAAUUAAUUAAUUGAUUAAAAUAAAAACUACACUUUGGCAUACCAUAUUUAAGCAAGAAAAUCUUGAAAAAAGUCAAAGGGGGAAAAAAUGUCUUACCUAUAAAGAAACAAAGAUAAGAAUUACAGCAGAAUUCUUGUCAGAAAUAAGUAAGCAGAGAAGUGUAGAAUGAAAUAUUUAAAGUGUUGAAAGAAAAAACUUACCAAACUAGAAUUCUAUAUCCAGAAAAUUUAUCCUCCAAAGAUGAGGGAGAAAUAAAGGCUUUCUCAGAUAAAUAAAACCUGAAGGAAUUCAUUUCCAGCAGAUUCGCCCUGCAAGAAAUUAAAAAAUCUUCAGACAGAAGGAAAGUGAUAGAGGUCAGAACUCACAUCCACAAAAAAAGAAAAAGUGGAGCAUCAGAAAGAAUAAAGAAAGAUGAAAUGAAAGCUUUUAUUUUUCUUAUUCUUAAUUGAUUUAAGAGACAAAUGCUUACCUAAAGUAAUAAAAGCAACGCUGUGUUGGGUGAUUAUAACAUAGAUUAGUGAUAUAAACGGCAGCAGUGUCACAGGGAGGGAGGGAGGAAUGAGGACUCCUCGACGAGGCAGCUGCAUCGCACAUGUGGACUGAAGGUGGACUUAGAUCAGUUAAAAAUGUGUUUUGGGAACUUUAGGAGAGUUACUGAAAAAGAAGAUCGUAAAGGAAGGUGUGUGAUACGCUGAGAAAGGAGAUAAAACGGACUCAUAAAAUGCUCAUUUAAAACGAGAGAAAGCAGAAGUAGACCGGGGAAAAGAAACAAAGAAUAAACGCGAUGAAUAAAAAAACAGUUACAGACGUGGUGGAUAUUAAUCCAGCUCUUUCCUUAAGUAUGAAGAGACGACCCAAGAGCUGUCACUGCUCUGGGUGAAUUGUGUGUUUAUUGGCCAACGUGCUCGACCACUUUAUGAAAGUGACACCUGCAAUGAUUGUCUACACCAUGCUCGGUGGGUAAAUGGGGGUUUAAAAGUUGAAGAAAAAGCAUCAUUAUCUUCUUUCUUUGGUGAUUGGAUAUCUGGAGAAAGGAUGGAUUUGAACACUCAUGCUUGUAGAACAUUUAAUUCUAUUUUUAGCCAUCUUUCAUUGGCGGAUGAGAUUUGCAGGGAUGGGGAGCAAAAUUAUGGAGGAUGUCUAAAAAAUGUGGACUCACUGCUCCUUAUCUUCUGCUUCAUAAGAUGAAAGGUAGUUCUCAAGAUAAGUAAAAGCAGAAAAUACUUUCUGGAGAUUUGUCCUUUAGAAUCUUAUUGCCUCCGUUUGUCUUUUGACAUCCAAGUUAAUUGUCUUGGUAACAGAAUUAAUAAGGGGAGUCAAGAACACAGAAAAGUAGCUGCCUUGUCCAGACAGCGGGCUGGAUGUGAGUAACAGCCUACAGGAGGGCAGCACACGUGGAGCCAGCACAUGUUGUGCUGUUUCAAGACUGCGUUAACGUCCUCAUGCUGCAAAGUCAUGAUUUAAACCCUCCUGAGAGACUCAACUUCCCAAAAGACCCGACAUCAUAAAAGAAGCUUUCACAUUGGUGCUUGUAAUACGUUGUUCGCUGUUAUCUCAGGGCAAGUUCUCACCUGGCCUAUAAAAAGAAAGGAGACAAUGGCUAUACAUUGAAAAACACACACGUGUCUUAGAUGAGGAAACGGAGUCACAAAGGAGCUGUGUCAUUUGCCCAGGAUCAUGAGAAUUCUAUUGGGUGCUGAAGGAUGACAAAGAGAGGUCACCCCCUCCGACCAGAAUGUUGAUUAUACUUUUUAAAGAAAAGACUCAUCGAUGAUAAUUGAAAAAGAAUCUGUGAUGGCUAAGUUUGUGACAGAAUUAGAUGAAGUAAGAGCCAUUUUGAUGUAUUAUCAAGAAGUUUGAAGUGGAUUUCUGUCCCUCCCAAUGAGAAGAAGGCCUUCGUGUGUUACACCAAGCAGCUUGGUCUCCAAGACAUCCUUUAUAGUCUUUUUAACACUGCACUGGAUUCCACACUACUGGAGAUAGUUGAUUAGCAGUCCAUGCCUUUAAGACAAUGAUUUCCAGACGUGCUCUCUGUACACGGGCAGGAAAAAUGACGAUUACCUUCUGGACUUUUAUAUGUACAUAGUUAUUGUUCUCUGGUUACAAAUGUAACUGUGGAUGGUUAGCUUUUAUGUAAGAUUUUAAUCCCUCUCUCAUUUUUUCUACUGGAUACCUUUAUCCACACUAAUUAUGAUGGGCCAACCAGAACCUUGUGUAGAUCAUUAAACAAGUAAGAUAUCACAAUAUUCUGCAGACAUAAUUCAUCAUAAUGUCUGUGGUGAGAGAGUUCAGGGUAUUAAGACUUUCAUUUUCAUGCUGGUGGACAUACAGACACAAAUAACGAGCUAAAGAUUCUAGAUUUA